GAGCACGUAGGUGGGUUUGUAAGUCAGAUGUGAAAGCCUUCUGUUCAACGGAAGAAUUGCAUCUGAAACUGCCAAUCUUGAGUGUAGGAGGGGAGAAUGGAACUUCUGGUGGAGCGGUGAAAUGCGUAGAUAUCAGAAGGAACGCCGGCGGCGAAAGCGAUUCUCUGGCCUAUUACUGACACUCAGUGUGCGAAAGCUAGGGGAGCAAACGGGAUUAGAUACCCCGGUAGUCCUAGCCGUAAACGAUGGGCACUAAGUAGAGGGG
Molecule: ribosomal RNA, 265 nt
Filed under: uncultured bacterium
Lineage: Bacteria
Description: partial 16S ribosomal RNA
Rfam family: Bacterial small subunit ribosomal RNA
Source: RNAcentral